GAUAUUCUAUAGACUGUAGUGUGAAUACUUCUAAACCUUUCCUUUCUGUUUAUGCUUCUGACUGAGCAUGGAGGAAAGGACCCAGGUAUAAAAAUGACUACAACAUUCCCUAUGUGGUUUUGUGUGAACACAUGCAGACAGUAAGGCCAUUG
Molecule: long non-coding RNA, 152 nt
Organism: Perognathus longimembris pacificus (Pacific pocket mouse)
Lineage: Eukaryota; Metazoa; Chordata; Mammalia; Rodentia; Heteromyidae
Exons: 3
Source: RefSeq, a predicted model, not a curated record